GACGAACGCUGGCGGCGCGCUUAACACAUGCAAGUCGAACGGAAAGGCCUGCUUUCCCUCGUGGAUUGCGGGUACUCGAGUGGCGAACGGUUGAGUAACACGUGAGUGAUCUGCCCCCAACUUGGGUAUAAGCCUGGGAAACUGGGUCUAAUUCCCGAUAGGACUGCAGGGUGGUGCCUGUGGUGGAAAAAGAUUUUCUAGUGGUUGGGGAUGGGCUCGCGGCCUAUCAGCUUGUUGGUGGGGGAAUGGCCUACCAAGGCGGCGACGGGUAGCCGGCCUGAGAGGAUGGACGGGCGCAUUGGGACUCGGUCUAGCCCCCGACUCCAGCAGGAGGUAGCAAUUGGGGAGAAUUCGGAGGAGGCGGAAGCCUGCUGCGGCGACGCAGGGAGGACGAUGGCGGGCUUCGGAAUGUAAUCUACUUGCGACGACGAGGGAAACACCUAGAUGGAAAGGUAGUGACGGUAGUGGUAGAAGAAGCACCGGCUAACUACGUG
Molecule: ribosomal RNA, 494 nt
Filed under: uncultured bacterium
Lineage: Bacteria
Description: partial 16S ribosomal RNA
Rfam family: Bacterial small subunit ribosomal RNA
Source: RNAcentral